This 459-nucleotide ribosomal RNA is filed under the name uncultured bacterium. RNAcentral describes it as "partial 16S ribosomal RNA". It matches the Rfam family "Bacterial small subunit ribosomal RNA", at positions 338 to 795 of the family's 1533-position model. The record is from RNAcentral.
CCUACGGGAGGCAGCAGUGAGGAAUAUUGGUCAAUGGGAGAGAUCCUGAACCAGCCAAGCCGCGUGAGGGAAGACGGCCCUAUGGGUUGUAAACCUCUUUUGUCGGAGAACAAAACCCGGGACGUGUCCCGGACUGCGUGUAUCCGAAGAAAAAGCAUCGGCUAACUCCGUGCCAGCAGCCGCGGUAAUACGGAGGAUGCGAGCGUUAUCCGGAUUUAUUGGGUUUAAAGGGUGCGUAGGCGGUCCGUUAAGUCAGCGGUAAAAUUGCGGGGCUCAACCCCGGCCUGCCGUCGGAACUGGGUGCCUUGAGUGGGCGAGAAGUAUGCGGAAUGCGUGGUGUAGCGGUGAAAUGCAUAGAUAUCACGCAGAACCCCGAUUGCGAAGGCAGCAUACCGGCGCCCUACUGACGCUGAGGCACGAAAGUGCGGGUAUCGAACAGGAUUAGAUACCCUUGUAGUC